CUGUAGCCAAUUGAGCAGACCGACCCAGUUCCUUUCCUGGCAGGAACAUGGAGUGUAAGGAUUGCAAACAGGGACUUCCUUGGGAGUGUAGGCAGCCUGUUGCUUAUAUGAUUUCUUGAGGGACUUUCAAGGCAAUU
Molecule: small nucleolar RNA, 137 nt
Organism: Myodes glareolus (Bank vole)
Lineage: Eukaryota; Metazoa; Chordata; Mammalia; Rodentia; Cricetidae
Product: small nucleolar RNA SNORA70
Source: RefSeq, a predicted model, not a curated record